This 252-nucleotide ribosomal RNA is filed under the name uncultured bacterium. RNAcentral describes it as "partial 16S ribosomal RNA". It matches the Rfam family "Bacterial small subunit ribosomal RNA", at positions 524 to 776 of the family's 1533-position model. The record is from RNAcentral.
GACGAAGGGGGCUAGCGUUGUUCGGAAUUACUGGGCGUAAAGCGAGUGUAGGUGGUUGUCAUAGUCGGGUGUGAAAGCCUUGAGCUCAACUCAAGAAAUGCACUUGAUACUGGGCGACUAGAGGACCGGAGAGGAUAGUGGAAUUCCCAGUGUAGUGGUGAAAUACGUAGAGAUUGGGAAGAACACCAGUGGCGAAGGCGGCUAUCUGGACGGUUACUGACACUGAGGUGCGAAGCGUGGGGAGCAAACAGG